Molecule: long non-coding RNA, 739 nt
Filed under: Olea europaea subsp. europaea
Lineage: Eukaryota; Viridiplantae; Streptophyta; Magnoliopsida; Lamiales; Oleaceae
Source: RNAcentral
CUAGAUGCCAUUGUCAACAGAGAAUUGGAUAAUGUAGCACAAUCAUUAUCGGAUCAUAUCCGUGCGCAGCAAGCGACAAGUGGUGGUACACCGAGAACUUCAAUUGGAGCUGAGUCUAGUUCUGCUUCUGGUACCCCAAGAUAUAUAACUGAAGAUCGUUUGAAAGAAAUGUUUGGUAUUUAUAGGCAGCAUACAAUAUCAGAUGUGUCCGAUCUAUGUGGCAACUUGAAGACAGACUUUGUUAAAGAAUCAAGAGCCCUAAACCACGCGAUCCUUGACAACCAAAAGCUAAUGUUCAAAUAACAGACCAAAUCAUCGCAAGAUUACAUGCAACAUGGUUUACAUUCGUACAUAGAUAAUUUUCUAUCUGGUUUGUUUCAGAGUCAUAUGGCCCACGAAUCGAAAACACAAGAAGCCCAUUAUCAGGCAGUUCUGCAAAGACAAGAAGAAUUAUUUCAACAGCAACAAGAGCAAAUACGGUAUUAUGUGGAUUUCAGUUUAUGUUCCGUGAAAUCAUACACCGACGAACAUACUGAGAAUAUGCAGAAUAGAUUAUCUAACUGGGAAUCGAACAUGAAAGCCAUUAUAAGUUCCAUAAAACAAGAUGUCUCUCCUCAUGCAAGUCCAAAUCCUACUGAUCAUGAACAGGAGACGUCAACGUCUCAACAAAUUGAACAUGCUCAAAGGUUAAGAAGAGAAAGGGAAAGGAAGAGGAAGUGCACAUAGUCUUCAUCAUCGA